RNAcentral lists this ribosomal RNA (408 nucleotides) under Rhagada radleyi. Its description in RNAcentral is "partial 16S ribosomal RNA". It matches the Rfam family "Bacterial large subunit ribosomal RNA", at positions 1808 to 2593 of the family's 2925-position model. The record is from RNAcentral. Lineage: Eukaryota; Metazoa; Mollusca; Gastropoda; Stylommatophora; Camaenidae.
CAAAAACAUAGCUAGAUGUAAUUAUAUUUAGUGCUUCCUGCUCAAUGAUAUAUUUAAUAGCCGCAGUACCUUGACUGUGCAAAGGUAGCAUAAUCAAUUGGCUUAUAAUUGAAGUCUAGAAUGAAAGGAUAUACGGGUAGUUACUGUAUCUGAUAUUUAUUGCAAAAUUAGUUUUCAAGUGCAAAUACUUGUAAAUAACUGUUAGACGAGAAGACCCUAGAAAUUUGUAUUAAUGUUUCGUUGGGGCAACGUAGUAGGAAAACCUACAGUAAAAGACAAGAAAAAAUUUUGAGAGAAAAAAUUACUCUAGGGAUAACAGCAUAAUUUAUAAAAGUUUGUGACCUCGAUGUUGGAUUUGGGAAUUAUAGUUCARAAGACUUUUAAUACCGCUCUGUUCGAGCAUAAUAC